Molecule: long non-coding RNA, 6295 nt
Filed under: Sorghum bicolor (sorghum)
Lineage: Eukaryota; Viridiplantae; Streptophyta; Magnoliopsida; Poales; Poaceae
Description: long non-coding RNA (SBIC_LNC000934)
Source: RNAcentral
ACGAUUAAUCGACCUCUGAUCGAACUAAUCGUCCAUAUAAUCAUCCAACAUAUAGCAGGACUACAUAUCAUAUAUGUAUAUAGUGCAGUAGGGAAGAGGGAGGAGGAAGCAGACAACAGGGAAGAGGGAGGAGGAAGCAGCAACUGGCUGCUUGGAUUGGAACUGGAAGGGAGGGAGGAGGCUCAGCAGCUCAGUAGAUGCACAAGAAGCAAGCUCAGCAGCUGAAGGCUGGAGUUGGGAGUGAGGACAGAGGAAAGAGAGAGUGGGGGUGAGGUAUAUAAGAGAAACUCUAAUGGGCUUGGCCCAAAUAAAUAUAGCCCAAGCCAAAAGCAGCCCAUCUGCCAAUUUAGCUCUGAUCAGCCAAGAGGCCUGAUCGGACGAUUAAUCGGACGAUCAGGUUUCUGAUCGUUCUGAUCGAAUCGGAGGCCCUAAUCGAGUGCUAAGUACCGAUAAGGACGAUUAAUCACGAUUAAUCGGACGAUCAGAAUACACAUUUUGUUAUUUGCAGUACAAUGUUAAUAGUAAUUUAUAGAACCCAUGGUAGGCAGCAGCUCUCUGUGCCUUGACGAACGGAGGUUGUAGUGGUGAGAGAUCGGUGGGCGAGGCUUGAACGUCACGCGGCGGCGAGGUGCCGUGGUCGCGUGGAGGAGAGGAAGAGGGAAGGGGCGAUGGCUAGGGUUUUGCAGGGAAACUCCCGGCUCCCUAAAGGAAGCCGAGUAAAUAAUACUCUUGUUUAAUCUGUCCAAUACGAUUACAACUCAUAUAUAUAACUAUUUGAUCUACCAAUUAAGGAAAUAACUUUUAAGAAUAAAUAUGGGAAAUAAAUAUGGGCUGUCAGCCCCUAUCCCUGCGCCUAAUCUUAGCCACUACUGGCCCGCCUCCUGGCAUAUUGGAUGCCGGUCAUAACAUCUCUCCCCGCCUGCACAAACAGCUCGUCCUCGAGCUGGAAGUCGGGGAACUGCUCGCGGAACUCCGGAAGGGACUCCCAAGUAGCUUCGUCGUCGGUAAGGCCGUGCCAUUUGACCAGCAGAUGCCACUCACCGCGCCGCUGCUGAGCUUGCAGGAUGCGCUCGGGAGUGGACAGAUGCCUGCCAUCCAGGACAGGGGGCAGCACGCCGACUGCUGCAGGGGGGUCGCCGCGGUGGGGCUUGAGCAGCCCCACGUGGAAGACGUCAUGAAGUCGUGCGCCCUCCGGGAGCUGUAGACGGUAGGCCACCGCACCGAUGCGUUCCACAACACGGAACGGACCGGCGAACUUGGGACCGAGCUUGCGCCGCGCCCAGCAAAUUCCACGUUGCGCCGAGGAGCAGGCGUAGAUAGACCCAAUCCCUGACUGCAAAUUCCACGUCGCGAUGCCCAGCGUCGUAGUACCGUUUGGACAGCGCCUGAGCUUGGAGAAGGCGCUGACGCACCUCAGCCAAGAUCAGAUCCCGGUCCCGAAGAAGCGCUGCGGCAGCCUCGGAGCGAGUGGAUCCGGGCUGGUACGGUAGGAUAGGCGGUGGGGGCCUGCCGUAGACCACCUCGAAUGGUGUAGCGCGCAACGCCGUGUGGAACGAAGUGUUGUAGCAAUACUCGACCCACGGCAGCCAAUCCACCCAUGCGCGCGGCCGGUCACCUGUGACACAACGAAGGUACAUGGCAAUCACCUUGUUAACCACCUCGGACUGGCCGUCCGUCUGAGGGUGGAACGCUGUGCUCAUGCGCAGCUUGAUGCCUGCGCAUCGGAAGAGGUCGCGCCAAACAUGCCCGGUAAACACCGGUCCCUGUCACUGACGAUGGAGGAGGGGAACCGUGUAGCCGAACAAUGCCGUCGAAGAAGGCACGGGCGACGGAUGCGGCGGUGUAGGGGUGGCCGAGCGCGAUGAAGUGCGCGUACUUGGAGAAGCGGUCAACGACCGUGAGAAUGACGGACUUGCCGCCCACCUUGGGCAGCCCCUCGACGAAGUCCAUCGAGAUGUCCGCCCAUACCUGCGAGGGCACCUCCAGCGGCUGCAGUAGGCCAGCGGGCUGUAAUGUCAGGUGCUGUCUUGUUGCGCUGACAGGUGCUGCAGCGGAGCACCCAGUCCUGGACCAGCGCACGGUCGCCCGGGAUGUAGAAAUCAGUACGCAGGCGGUGGAGCGUCUUUUGCACGCCUUCAUGGCCGGCCAAAUGGGCCAGCAGCAACGCCUGGUGGCGCGAUCAGCGUGGUCCGGAACGAAGAUCCUGCUGCCAUGUAGCAGCAGGCCACUGUCAAGACGCCAGGGAGCAGCCAGCGCCCCAUCGGCCAGCUGCUGGAGCAGGCGCUAGGCGUCCGCGGCCUCCCUGGUGGCUCUGCGCACGUCGUCGAGGAAGGCGAACGAAGGGCCCGAGAGAGCACACACGGCCGCACCAUCCUGACUUGGAGCCUCCUGCUCUGUGUCGCGGCGAGACAAGGCGUCGGCCACCGUGUUGAGGCGGCCAGGACGGUACUCCACCGUGAAGUCGAAGCCGAAGAGCUUGCUAAUCCACUGAUGCUGAGGCACCGUGGACAAGCGCUGAUCUAAGAGAAACUUUAAACUGUAAUGGUCAGUGCGAAUAAGAAAGUGCCGUCCCCAAAGGUACGGCCGCCAAUGGCGCACAGCUUGCACCAAACCGAUGAGCUCGCGUUCGUAAGCUGCGAGCUUGAGAUGGCGAGCUGCGAACGGACGGCUGAAGAAAGCGAGAGGUCCGGCGCCUUGGUGAAGUACUGCACCGAACCCAACACCCGACGCGUCGCAGUCCACCAUGAACAGCUUGUCGAAGUCAGGCAUCUGGAGCACAGGCCCGGUGGUGAGGGCGCGCUUCAGUGCCUGGAAGGCCUCCUCAGCCUCUGUGUCCCAGUCGAACACGUCUCGCCGCAAGAGACACGUCAGGGGGGCCGCAAUGAGCCCGAACUCCUGGAUAAACUUCCGGUAGUAGCCCGCCAAGCCCAGGAAGCCACGCAGCCCCCUGGCCGAUCGUGGGGAUGGCCAUGCCGCGACGGCAGCCACCUUGUCGGCGUCCAUGGCGACGCCACCAGCUGAGAUGACGUGGCCCAAGUAGGCCACUGACGUCGCCCCGAACGAACACUUCGAGCGCUUAAGGUGGAGGUGGUGCGCCCGAAGCUCGUUGAGGACGAUGGCGAUGUGCUGCAGGUGCUCCGCCCAUGACGAGCUGUAGAUGAGAAUGUCGUCAAAGAAAACCAGCACGAACCUCCGCAAGUAGAAGCGCAACACGUCGUUCAUCAGCGCCUGAAACGUUGCCGGCGCGUUGGAGAGCCCGAACGGCAUGACCAGGAACUCGUAGUGGCCAUGGUGCGUGCGGAAGGCCGUCUUGGCGACGUCAUCGAGGUGCAUCCGCACCUGGUGGUAGCCCGACCGCAAGUCGUGGUGGUAGCCCGACCGCAAGUCGAGCUUAGUGAAGAAACGCGCCCCAUGGAGCUCGUCGAGGAGCUCGUCCACCACCGGAAUCGGGAAUUUGUCCUUGGACGUCUUGGCGUUGAGGGCACGGUAGUCGAUGCAGAACCGCCACGACGCGUCCGCCUUACGGACCAACAACACCGGUGUGGAGAACGGUGAAGUGCUUGGCCGGAUGAUGCCCUGGGCGAGCAUGGCCUCGCACUGGCGCUCCAGCUCGUCCUUCUGCAGCUGGGGGUAUCGAUAUGGUCGAACGGCGACCGGCGGCGUGUCCGGCAGCAGGUGGAUGCGGUGGUCGUACGGCCUCGCCGGGGGAAGUCCGCGCGGCUCCUCGAAGAUGGCUGCGUGCUGCUCAAGGAGGGUGUCCAGCAGGGGCUGCUGGGCGGCUAGAGCAGCCGUCGUGGCCUGCUGGGAGGGCGCAGGGGUGUCAGCCCCGCCCACGCCCUUCCAUUGGAUCCCACAUCCGCCACGCCAGAACGCCAUGGUCUUGGCCUCCAAGUCCCACGUGAUGGGGCCGAGCGUGCGCAGGAAGUCGUAGCCGAGGAUGAAGUCGAAACAGCCCAAGUCGAUGUCGGCGCAUGUGAUGGCGAAAGUCUCGCCCUCGAUGGAGAUGGGGACGUUCCGGGCGAUGCCGGCGCAGCGUAGUUUGUCCCCAUUGGCCACCGUGACGCGCAGUUGGUCCCCGCCAUCUGGGACCAAGCCAAGGCGCUCCAUAAUCGCUCCACUGAGGAAAUUGUGGGUGGAGCCCGUGUCGAGCAACGCCAGCACGCACUCCCCUUUGAUCAGCACUGGCAGCAACAUGGUGUUCGUCGUCCGAAUACCUGCAAAAGCAUGGAGGGAGACUGCCAGGACGUUAGCAACCUCUUCUUCCGGGGCGGCGGCCUCCUGCAGAGCUGGCGCGGCCACAUCUCCCUGUGGCUGCACGGCUUCCUCAAUGUAGUCGUCGGCUGCCAGGUAGAGAAGGCGCUGGCACACAUGGCCCGAGGUGUAGAGUUCAUCGCAGUUGUAGCAGAGCCCCUGGCGGCGACGUUCUUGCUGCUCUGCCGAUGUUAGGCGUCGGAACGCGCGCCCGCCUGGGGCGCCUGCACCUGCUGCUGGGGGAACGGCAGCCGGCCCUGCUCCUGGCGCACGUGCUGCUGGAAGGCCCGGCCGCUGCGCUGGUCGGGCGGGCAGGGGGCGCCGGAGGGGUCGCAGCCGCCCGUCGCUCGAAGGCACGUGCGUAGUAUAUUGCUGCCUGCAGGUCCUGCGGGUGGUGCAUCUCAACAUCCACCCGGAUAUACUCCGGAAGGCCGCCGACAAAGAGCUCAGCCCGCUGACGUGUUGAGACGUCCGGUGCAUGGCAGGCGAGAGCCUGAAACCGAUCGGCGAACUCUUGGACAGAGGUGGCGAAAGGCAGCCGCCCGAGCUCAGCCAGCCGACUGCCAUGCAGCGGCGGACCAAAGCGAAGGCGACAUAAAUCGCGGAAACGCUCCCACGGCGGCAUGCCCUCGUCUUGCUCCAAGGCAUAGUACAAGGUCUGCGCGCCCCCUCGAAGAUGGUAGGACGCCAGCCAGGUACGGUUGGACGCCGGCGUGCGCUGUACGCGGAAGAACUGGUCGCACUGAUUGAGCCAGUUCAGUGGGUCGACGGUGCCAUCGUACGUCGGGAAUUCCAACUUGUAGAACUUGACCUGGGGAUCAUAGCCGAAGGGCGGUUGGCCGCCCUGGCCGUCGGACGUGCCGAACGGUGGCGGACCGCCGUGGCCUCUGUACGUGCCACCAUGGUUGGGAGCGCCACCGUAGAACGGACCCCCUCUGUACCCCCCGGCGGCGGCGGCUGAGUAGGGGAGGGGCGACUGGAGCUGGGUGCCGUGGAAAAGCGGCCCGCUGGCACCACCGUAGAGCACCCCCGGCGCGGGGACACCCCCAUGGCCGGGCCCCAAGCUCGCCAAGGGCGGGGGGGGCAGCCAAGGCUGCGUCGGAGAGGACGUGUAGAUCGGCUGCGACUGGGACAGCCACGGUGGAAGCUCGGACGGAGAGGGCGGGAAUUGAAUCUGGGUGAUCGGCACCCCGCCCGACGGCCGUUGUACGGAUGAAUCCGGCGGCAUGCCGAACUGGGGCGCCCCCGUGGAUGACCCGAGUGUAGAGGACGGCGGCGGCGGCGGCGGCGGUAGGUGGUGCUGCUGGGGCGGUGGCGCCGGCUGAACAUAGGUGGAUGCGCCCAGGAAGGCGCGCAGCUCGGCCAUCCCGCGGCCCAGUUCGAAGAUCGCCUGCGUGACCUCCUCCGGCGUGAGGAUGACCCCUGGUCACGACGGCGCUGCGCCCGCAGCGAGGGCCCCUUCACUGAAGCCCUGCAGCAGCUGCGUCGAGGGAAUCAUGGCAGAAGAGGAGGAGGACGGCAGCGGCGCUGAUGUGGACGGCGGCGGAGCAGAGGUGGGCGGGGCACUUGCUGGUGGAGACGAAGAAGACGGAGGAAGCGACAUCGAACCAGAGAUCUCUGAUACCAAAUUGGUAGGCAGCAGCUCUCUGUGCCUUGACGAACGGAGGUUGUAGUGGUGAGAGAUCGGUGGGCGAGGCUUGAACGUCACGCGGCGGCGAGGUGCCGUGGUCGCGUGGAGGAGAGGAAGAGGGAAGGGGCGACGGCUAGGGUUUUGCAGGGAAACUCCCAGCUCCCUAAAAGAAGCCGAGUAAAUAAUACUCUUGCUUAAUCUGUCCAAUACGAUUACAACUCAUAUAUAUAACUAUUUGAUCUACCAAUUAAGGAAAUAACUUUUAAGAAUAAAUAUGGGAAAUAAAUAUGGGCUGUCAGCCCCUGUCCCUGCGCCUAAUCUUAGCCACUACUGGCCCGCCUCCUAGCAUAUUGGAUGCCGGUCAUAACAACCCAACACAAAAGUACAGGUAGUUUCUGUUUCCCCCAAUUUUUC